UGGAGGGCAAGUCUGGUGCCAGCAGCCGCGGUAAUUCCAGCUCCAAUAGCGUAUAUUAAAGUUGUUGCAGUUAAAAAGCUCGUAGUUGAAUUUCGGGAUUUGUCAGUUGGUCGGGCUUAACUGUCCGUAUUGACUCGAUGGAUUCUUACCUUCUGAAUAACCAGCAUGCUAUUAAUUUAGUGCGUUGGGGAAGCAGAUCUAUUACCUUGAAAAAAUUAGAGUGCUUAAAGCGAGCUAGUGCUUGAAUAGAUUAGCAUGGAAUAAUAAAAUAGGACGGCAUGGUUCUAUUUUGUUGGUUACUAGGAUCACCGUAAUGAUUAAUAGGGAUAGUUGGGGGCAUUAGUAUUCAAUUGUCAGAGGUGAAAUUCUUGGAUUUAUUGAAGACUAACUUCUGCGAAAGCAUUUGCCAAGGAUGUUUUCAUUAAUCAAGAACGAAAGUUAGGGGAUCGAAGACGAUCAGAUACCGUCGUAGUCUUAACCAUAAACUAUGCCGACUAGGAAUCGGACGAUGUUAAUUUUAUAAUGACUCGUUCGGCAUCUUACGGGAAAC
Molecule: ribosomal RNA, 550 nt
Filed under: uncultured Glomus
Lineage: Eukaryota; Fungi; Glomeromycota; Glomeromycetes; Glomerales; Glomeraceae
Description: SSU rRNA
Rfam family: Eukaryotic small subunit ribosomal RNA
Source: RNAcentral